AGUAGCCGCGGGAAUACGUAGGGUGCAAGCGUUAAUCGGAAUUACUGGGCGUAAAGCGUGCGCAGGCGGUUAUAUAAGACAGAUGUGAAAUCCCCGGGCUCAACCUGGGAACUGCAUUUGUGACUGUAUAGCUAGAGUACGGCAGAGGGGGAUGGAAUUCCGCGUGUAGCAGUGAAAUGCGUAGAUAUGCGGAGGAACACCGAUGGCGAAGGCAAUCCCCUGGGCCUGUACUGACGCUCAUGCACGAAAGCGUGGGGAGCAAACAGGAUUAGAUACCCCCGUAGUCCCUGUCUCUUAUACA
This 301-nucleotide ribosomal RNA is filed under the name uncultured bacterium. RNAcentral's name for it is "partial 16S ribosomal RNA". It matches the Rfam family "Bacterial small subunit ribosomal RNA", at positions 510 to 808 of the family's 1533-position model. The record is from RNAcentral.